This is a long non-coding RNA of Morus notabilis, 475 nucleotides long. RefSeq lists it as uncharacterized. The record is from RefSeq and is a predicted model, not a curated record. Lineage: Eukaryota; Viridiplantae; Streptophyta; Magnoliopsida; Rosales; Moraceae. The transcript has 3 exons.
UCCCCGAGUGUUCACUUCCAUUCGAAUCACAGAAGAGAGAGGGGGAGAGAGAGAGAGAGAGAGAGAGAGAUGGUGCACGAAGAAGAAGCAGAGCUAAGCGAGGCCCAGAAGAAGGAGAUUGCGAAAUGGUUCCUCCUCAACUCUCCUCCUGGCGAAAUCCAAUACGUUUCCAAAGGAUUGGAAUUGCACAAGACCAUCCUCGGAGAGGCCUGAAUAGCUGCUGGAAAUUUCUCUAAAAUCAUUUCUUGGUUUUGGAAAGAUAUUGCUUCAACGCGAUAUUUACUUACAGAAAAAGUUGGAAAAAGAGAGAAGGAAAUGAGAAGGUUUAGGUGGGUGGCCAUUAUUUUGAGGAGGGGAAUGUGCAGCUAGAUGCUAACAUAUUUGCAUGGACAGGCAUCCUACUCAAACUUGGCAGAUACCACUUUCAAGGUACUGACCUUAAGUAGUAACUUAUCGCAAUUUCUUAGUGAUUUAA